Long non-coding RNA from Lontra canadensis (Northern American river otter), 225 nucleotides. RefSeq lists it as uncharacterized. The record is from RefSeq and is a predicted model, not a curated record. The transcript has 3 exons. Lineage: Eukaryota; Metazoa; Chordata; Mammalia; Carnivora; Mustelidae.
CCAACCAACGGAGCCACUGAGGGGUCCCUGAUUGAGAUGAGGAAACUGAGGCACCAAGGGAUUAAGUGAUUUGUCCAGAGCCACACAACGACAGAGCUGUGAUCAGAACUGAGCACUCUGGAUCCCAAGGCUUUUAUCUACCAUGUGAAGGUGGUCCAUUCUAUUUCUGGGAUAUUCUAAUUCAGGUAUCUUCAGCCUUCAACCUUGCAUCAGAGGUGCAUCAGA